RNAcentral lists this ribosomal RNA (254 nucleotides) under uncultured bacterium. RNAcentral describes it as "partial 16S ribosomal RNA". It matches the Rfam family "Bacterial small subunit ribosomal RNA", at positions 524 to 776 of the family's 1533-position model. The record is from RNAcentral.
UACGUAGGGUCCGAGCGUUGUCCGGAUUUACUGGGCGUAAAGGGCGCGUAGGCGGCCACCGCAAGUCAGUUGUGAAAUCUCUGGGCUUAACCCAGAAAGGUCAACUGAUACUGCGGGGCUAGAGUGCAGAAGGGGCAACUGGAAUUCUCGGUGUAGCGGUGAAAUGCGUAGAUAUCGAGAGGAACACCUGCGGCGAAGGCGGGUUGCUGGGCUGACACUGACGCUGAAGCGCGAAAGCUAGGGGAGCGAACGGG